GGAAGAAGCACUGGGCAGAAAAUAGGAUGCAGCAAGAUGAAUGUGUAAAGGAAAAAUGAAAAAAGUUGCGUUUGGUGGGAGGCGCUGCCACCCCGCCGUCUACAGAAUGAGAGAGAGCGGAGGGGUGUUUCGUUUGGCUGCUAAUCACCUGGAACACACCGGCUCACCUUCAAAGCGCGGCGGAGAAACCCUUACCUGGAGCGCGCAAGAGCUAGCAUGCGCCGGGCUUAGCGGAUCUCACGUGUGUCUUGUCUGGACGCGUGCUGAAGGAGUCUUUAAUACCGAGCUCUGGUUAAUGCUCUUCUGCUGUGUUUCAAAGCGUUUCCUUAAGUGCUGCAUAAUUAUAUAGACACGAUAUAAUCAAGUACUUUUACUGAUGUGAAAUGGGUGGAAACAAGCAGUCGAAGCU
This is a long non-coding RNA of Puntigrus tetrazona (Sumatra barb), 409 nucleotides long. RefSeq lists it as uncharacterized. The record is from RefSeq and is a predicted model, not a curated record. NCBI's taxonomy places the organism in Eukaryota, Metazoa, Chordata, Actinopteri, Cypriniformes, Cyprinidae. The transcript is spliced from 3 exons.